RNAcentral lists this ribosomal RNA (206 nucleotides) under uncultured bacterium. RNAcentral's name for it is "partial 16S ribosomal RNA". It matches the Rfam family "Bacterial small subunit ribosomal RNA", at positions 568 to 774 of the family's 1533-position model. The record is from RNAcentral.
CACGCAGGCGGUUGGUCAAGUUCGGCGUGAAAGCUCCCGGCUCAACUGGGAGAGGUCGUUGAAAACUGAUCGGCUUGAGGCGAUGAGAGGGUACGGAAUUCCCGGUGUAGUGGUGGAAUGCGUAGAUAUCGGGAGGAACACCAGUGGCGAAAGCGGUACCCUGGCAUUUGCCUGACGCUCAUGUGCGAAAGCGUGGGGAGCGAACG